AUUUGCAUUGAUUGAGACGUGUGUAUAUAUAUAUAUAUAAAUAAGGGAUAAUGCCUAUAUACCCCUCGUACGUUUGGAAGUAUCUGAUUUAUUCUUUUUUUUUCUUUCUAAAAUAUUUCUUAUAUGUUCCAUCGUUAUUCCAAAAUACCCCCGCAGUUAUCUCCUGUUAGCUUAACUCGGGUUAAAUAUGGAUUAAAUAUAUUCUAAAGUUAAAACCUAAACAAAAUAUCUAUUUUGCCCCUAUCUUAUUAAACUAUUUUCUUAAGAUAUCCUCUCUUUCUCUCCCUCCCAACUUGCUCUCGUCGUCGUCCUCCUCCGC
RNAcentral lists this long non-coding RNA (319 nucleotides) under Ananas comosus (pineapple). RNAcentral describes it as "long non-coding RNA (ACOM_LNC005016)". Lineage: Eukaryota; Viridiplantae; Streptophyta; Magnoliopsida; Poales; Bromeliaceae. The record is from RNAcentral.